GUGGCGAACGGGUGAGUAACACGUGGGCAAUCUGCCCUUCACUCUGGGACAAGCCCUGGAAACGGGGUCUAAUACCGGAUAACACCGGCCUCUGCAUGGGGGCUGGUUAAAAGCUCCGGCGGUGAAGGAUGAGCCCGCGGCCUAUCAGCUUGUUGGUGGGGUAAUGGCCUACCAAGGCGACGACGGGUAGCCGGCCUGAGAGGGCGACCGGCCACACUGGGACUGAGACACGGCCCAGACUCCUACGGGAGGCAGCAGUGGGGAAUAUUGCACAAUGGGCGAAAGCCUGAUGCAGCGACGCCGCGUGAGGGAUGACGGCCUUCGGGUUGUAAACCUCUUUCAGCAGGGAAGAAGCGAAAGUGACGGUACCUGCAGAAGAAGCGCCGGCUAACUACGUGCCAGCAGCCGCGGUAAUACGUAGGGCGCAAGCGUUGUCCGGAAUUAUUGGGCGUAAAGAGCUCGUAGGCGGCUUGUCACGUCGGGUGUGAAAGCCCGGGGCUUAACCCCGGGUCUGCAUCCGAUACGGGCAGGCUAGAGUGUGGUAGGGGAGAUCGGAAUUCCUGGUGUAGCGGUGAAAUGCGCAGAUAUCAGGAGGAACACCGGUGGCGAAGGCGGAUCUCUGGGCCAUUACUGACGCUGAGGAGCGAAAGCGUGGGGAGCGAACAGGAUUAGAUACCCUGGUAGUCCACGCCGUAAACGUUGGGAACUAGGUGUUGGCGACAUUCCACGUCGUCGGUGCCGCAGCUAACGCA
RNAcentral lists this ribosomal RNA (752 nucleotides) under Kitasatospora aureofaciens. Its description in RNAcentral is "bacterial SSU rRNA". It matches the Rfam family "Bacterial small subunit ribosomal RNA", at positions 95 to 859 of the family's 1533-position model. Lineage: Bacteria; Bacillati; Actinomycetota; Actinomycetes; Kitasatosporales; Streptomycetaceae. The record is from RNAcentral.